This is a long non-coding RNA of Gadus macrocephalus (Pacific cod), 1616 nucleotides long. RefSeq lists it as uncharacterized. Lineage: Eukaryota; Metazoa; Chordata; Actinopteri; Gadiformes; Gadidae. The transcript has 2 exons. The record is from RefSeq and is a predicted model, not a curated record.
GUUUGGGGCCGCUGAAGAACCAUUCCCUACUCUGAGAGGAUUGAGGACUACAGGCCCUGAGAAAAGCCUCUCCACUUACAGAUGACAUUCCUGUCGUCCGUCUUCCUUCUUUUCUCGCUGGCUAGGCUUAACCCUAGUCCUCAUCUGUGUUUUCAUGGUGCAUUAUGGGAAAACUGUUUGCUUCAGCUACAGAAUUAUGUUUUCUACUUCCUAAAGUAGCGAGAACCUUUUAGAUUAGGAUAUGUCAUAGUUGAUAAUAUCCAAUUAAUGUCCUGUUGACUUCAAGCUGACUGUAUUUGGGGUCAAGAACGGUCUUUAUAUCUCGACAUUGCGUAUCAGUGUCGUGACCCGAGUCCUGGAGUGUCCUGGUCACUAGCUUGUUCUUGGUGCUCCUCAGAUCAACCGGCCUGUGAUGGAGGCAGCCCUGAGUCCAGACAUGCUGGCCACUGACUUGGCCUACUACCUCGUCCGCAAGGGGCUGCCCUUCAGAGAGGCCCACGGACUCUCUGGAAGAGCCGUCUUCCAGGCAGAGUCUAAGAACGUCCCUCUGAACCAGCUGACUGUGGAGGACCUCGCUACUAUAAGGUGACUCGUCCACACACCGUGAUCUGAUAGUCCCGAACAACGUCCGGCCGUCUUUUGGUUUACGAGACUACUGUUGUUUCUCCGGCCUGUUUACUGAGCACCUCUCCCCCCUGGCUCCAGCCCCGUUUGACCGCGACGUGGCGGCCGUGUGGGACUACACCAGCAGUGUGGAGCAGUACAGCGCCCCCGGUGGCACGGCCCGGAGCAGCGUCACAGCGCAGGUGCAACACCUGAGGAGAUGGCUGCAGGACCACACCCAGUGAUCUUGUUUGGCCAGUGAUGGACAAGAGACGUCCGUUGCCUCUGGUUGUUUUAUCAAGGGUUAUCCAGGUGUGCUUUUAAGCAUCAGAAUCAUGUUGUUCCAUAAAAUUUAUUGCAAACUCACCUCAUUUGUGAAUCGCUUUCCUUUGGUUCCUUCAAGCCGAUUAAAUUGGUGGAGUCUAUUUCCCUCUUGGCUAGGUUCAGACCACGCCCCUCAAUACUGAGUCUUAGCUGACUUAGAGAUAUACUGUAUAUUAACACACGUGUUGACAUUUUCCUGAGCGGUUCAGUAGGUGUGUAGGAGAUGCAUCCCUUAGAUAUGCAAGUGUUUUGACCUGACUUUACAUCUCUGAACAGGUUUACUGAGUAAGCACCAACAUAUAAGGAUACAUCGUUACUCUCUGAAGAGCUGUUCUAUCAAUGCAUUUUUGGUAACUGUUUUGUGAACAAUAUGAAAGAAGUGAAUAUUGUAGGGACGUUUUUCACAGGUUAACAACUUAAGAAUACCAUUGUACUACAUAAUGUACACACUUAUUGUGCGCACUUAAUCUACAAUGCACUUAUUCAUAGCACUUAAUUGCGUCACAUCUGCAGUAGCUGCUUGCAUUGCUGUACACAGGGAGUGGGUUAGCCUAGCGAUUGUUAGUACUUGCACUUGGCUCUAUGAACAUCUUUACUGUACUGACAGCGAUAUAUUGUUUGACAAAUGUACUUAUUGUAAGUCACUUUGGAUAAAAGCGUCUGCUAAAUGCCCUAAAUGUAAAUGUAAA